UACAGAGGGGGCGAGCGUUAUUCGGAAUUAUUGGGCGUAAAGGGCGCGUAGGCGGCUGCGCAAGUCUCGGGUGAAAUCCCUCGGCUCAACCGAGGAACUGCCCUGGAAACUGCGCGGCUCGAGGCCGGGAGAGGAUGGUGGAAUUCCCAGUGUAGCGGUGAAAUGCGUAGAUAUUGGGAGGAACACCGGUGGCGAAGGCGGCCAUCUGGACCGUUUCUGACGCUGAGGCGCGAAAGCGUGGGGAGCAAACAGG
Molecule: ribosomal RNA, 253 nt
Filed under: uncultured bacterium
Lineage: Bacteria
Description: partial 16S ribosomal RNA
Rfam family: Bacterial small subunit ribosomal RNA
Source: RNAcentral